RNAcentral lists this ribosomal RNA (593 nucleotides) under uncultured bacterium. RNAcentral describes it as "bacterial SSU rRNA". It matches the Rfam family "Bacterial small subunit ribosomal RNA", at positions 338 to 947 of the family's 1533-position model. The record is from RNAcentral.
CCUACGGGAGGCAGCAGUGGGGAAUAUUGGACAAUGGGCGCAAGCCUGAUCCAGCAAUGCCGCGUGGGUGAUGAAGGCCUUCGGGUCGUAAAGCUCUUUUACCCGGGAUGAUAAUGACAGUACCGGGAGAAUAAGCUCCGGCUAACUCCGUGCCAGCAGCCGCGGUAAUACGGAGGGAGCUAGCGUUGUUCGGAAUUACUGGGCGUAAAGCGCACGUAGGCGGUUAUUCAAGUCAGAGGUGAAAGCCCGGGGCUCAACCCCGGAACUGCCUUUGAAACUAGAUGACUAGAAUCUUGGAGAGGUCAGUGGAAUUCCGAGUGUAGAGGUGAAAUUCGUAGAUAUUCGGAAGAACACCAGUGGCGAAGGCGACUGACUGGACAAGUAUUGACGCUGAGGUGCGAAAGCGUGGGGAGCAAACAGGAUUAGAUGCCCUGGUAGUCCACGCCGUAAACGAUGAUAACUAGCUGUCCGGGUACUUGGUAUUUGGGUGGCGCAGCUAACGCAUUAAGUUAUCCGCCUGGGGAGUACGGUCGCAAGNUUAAAACUCAAAGGAAUUGACGGCUGAGACGNGCGAGACGACGACGAGGGAGUAG